UAGGGAAUCUUCCACAAUGGACGCAAGUCUGAUGGAGCAACGCCGCGUGAGUGAAGAAGGUUUUCGGAUCGUAAAGCUCUGUUGUUGGUGAAGAAGGAUAGAGGUAGUAACUGGCCUUUAUUUGACGGUAAUCAACCAGAAAGUCACGGCUAACUACGUGCCAGCAGCCGCGGUAAUACGUAGGUGGCAAGCGUUGUCCGGAUUUAUUGGUCGUAAAGCGAGCGCAGGCGGAAGAAUAAGUCUGAUGUGAAAGCCCUCGGCUUAACCGAGGAACUGCAUCGGAAACUGUUUUUCUUGAGUGCAGAAGAGGAGAGUGGAAUUCCAUGUGUAGCGGUGGAAUGCGUAGAUAUAUGGAAGAACACCAGUGGCGAAGGCGACUCUCUGGUCUGCAACUGACGCUGAGGCUCGAAAGCAUGGGUAGCGAACAGG
This 429-nucleotide ribosomal RNA is filed under the name bacterium. Its description in RNAcentral is "partial 16S ribosomal RNA". It matches the Rfam family "Bacterial small subunit ribosomal RNA", at positions 355 to 776 of the family's 1533-position model. The record is from RNAcentral.